RNAcentral lists this ribosomal RNA (252 nucleotides) under uncultured bacterium. Its description in RNAcentral is "partial 16S ribosomal RNA". It matches the Rfam family "Bacterial small subunit ribosomal RNA", at positions 524 to 776 of the family's 1533-position model. The record is from RNAcentral.
UACGUAGGGUGCAAGCGUUGUCCGGAAUUAUUGGGCGUAAAGAGCUCGUAGGCGGUCUGUCGCGUCGGCUGUGAAAACCCGUGGCUCAACCCCGGGCCUGCAGUCGAUACGGGCAGACUAGAGUGCGGUAGGGGAGACUGGAAUUCCUGGUGUAGCGGUGAAAUGCGCAGAUAUCAGGAGGAACACCGGUGGCGAAGGCGGGUCUCUGGGCCGUAACUGACGCUGAGGUGCGAAGCGUGGGGAGCAAACAGG